This is a long non-coding RNA of Chelonia mydas (Green sea turtle), 1085 nucleotides long. RefSeq lists it as uncharacterized. The record is from RefSeq and is a predicted model, not a curated record. The transcript has 2 exons. NCBI's taxonomy places the organism in Eukaryota, Metazoa, Chordata, Testudines, Cheloniidae.
CUGAGCUGCCAGACCUGGAGAGAAAUGUCAGCAGCUGUGGCUCCUUGGUCGGUGAAGCUCACAUGUUUCAUGCACCUGUAGCUAAGAAUUUGUCUCUGCAGAAUUGUCCUGAACUUCAGUGUGGGUGUAUAGGUGCUUUUGAAGAUUUAGGAGCGGUGUCUGGUUGUCUUCUAGCCCAGCCUAGCCACCUGUUGAACUAAGCCCAGACCUGUGCUGUGGAGAGUCCCUUGACAUCUACUGGCUGCAGUACCUCUGCAGCUCACCCACACGGCAGCAGAAGCCUGGGCCAACUUACCUUCAUGGACUGUUCCAGGAGGAAGCAUUUCCAUGAUGAAAUUAUGGUUGAAAUUCUGGGCAGGGCCAAGAAGCAGGCCCAGUACCAAAGACAGAGGGACUUAAGGGUAGAAAAAGGCAUUCUACAAGGCCAGACGCAAGACUCAAGCUGGCUGCAGAACUUGAGAGCAGGAUUUCAGUGUGGGAGCAGGUACUUGCUUUCCAGUUCCUGGAACGGGUAUGGCAGCUAACGGAGGAGGACAGAGCUCAACGGAAAGACCUGUUUGAGUGGCUGAUAUCCCUAAUUGCUGCAAGAGUACCAGCUCCUUCGGCAUCCCAUGGUUUGAGUCCCCUUGAUGGUACCCUGUGCUGCAGUCCAGAAAAGGCUUGUAAAACUCAUGGCUGGGUGGACCAUGCAAUCGUGCCCCAUGAGCAACUGGGCAGAGCAAUCUUGUCUCAUGCAGUCCUCCGUAAUGACCCCCCUUCCCCUGUAUAUGCCUCCACCUUCUCCCCUGGUGCCACGUGGCAAUCUGGAAAGGGAGAAUGGGGGGACUGGGAACAUGCAAUGGUAGGGGCGUUCUGUCUCUUACAUGGUUUCACUGUUUGCACUUGUUCAUGCACUGUUUUUAUUGUUAGGUUCUACUGUUACUUGUGUUUUGGUGUGGUACUGGCAGCUGGCCUGCCUUGCAGUGGAUCAAUGUUGUAAUUUUUGAAUACAUGUUUAUAAAUCUGUUUUAUUUUACUGGAAAGUUUAUUGUAAUUACUGUAUCACAUCAUACAAUGUGCAUUUAAAUAAAGGUUAAAUAUGAUCA